ACAAAGCUCAGAGAGUUUGAAUCAGUAAUAGCUUGUGACCGAAUAAUAACAGUGAAAUAAAGUGAAGUAAAAAAACUGAAAGAACAAAGAAACAAGACAAUCAAGCCGAAUUAUUCCGGCGGCGAUAGUGCAGUAGUCCCACCUGAACCCAUGCCGAACUCAGAAGUGAAAUGCUGUAAUGCCGAUGGUAGUGUGGGGUCUCCCCAUGUGAGAGUAGGACACCGCCGGAU
This 230-nucleotide ribosomal RNA is filed under the name Testudinibacter aquarius. The record is from RNAcentral. Lineage: Bacteria; Pseudomonadati; Pseudomonadota; Gammaproteobacteria; Pasteurellales; Pasteurellaceae.